GCUGCACCGAUGGCAUCAUCUACGUGGUGGACUCAGUGGACGUGGACCGGCUGGAGGAAGCCAAAACGGAGCUGCACAAGGUGACCAAGUUCGCGGAGAACCAGGGCACCCCGCUGCUGGUCAUCGCCAACAAGCAGGACCUGCCCAAAUCGCUGCCGGUGGCCGAGAUCGAGAAGCAGCUGGCCCUCCACGAGCUGACCCCUUCCACCACCUACCACAUCCAGCCCGCCUGCGCCAUCAUCGGCGAGGGGCUGACGGAGGGCAUGGACAAGCUCUACGAGAUGAUCCUCAAGCGCAGGAAGUCCCUCAAGCAGAAGAAGAAGCGACAAUAGUGGUGAUAACAAAGCGGCUCCCGCCAGCCGAACCCAGAUCCCGGAGCUCCCCUCGCCCACCGCCCCGUGCUCCUGAGGGUCUGAUCCGGACUCCCUUGGGCUGGAAACACGGGAAAACGGGAUGAAUCCCCCCCUCUCCAUCUCCGGGACCACCGAGCCUUUGUGUGCCGGGGAACCAGCAGGGCAGGACCCUGUUGAAGCGCGUUCGAGCGGAGCCCAGCGUGCUUUUGGAUCUUUAACGUGGGCAUUUUGGGGGUGUCGAUGCCAGACCCCCACAUGCAUUUUGGGGCGGGGGGUCGGUGCUGCGGGAGGUGCGGAUGCACCGUGUCUCGGCAAGGUCCGCGGGGUGGGCGGGGGGGGGGGGGGCUUGCAGCCCUCAUUCCUGCAUCCCCACAUCCCUGGAUCCCUCCCCCGCGGGUGGCGGUGGGAAGGGGUGUUGAAAGCUUGGAUGGGGGGGUUGGACCAGCAGAAAAUGUCUUGGAGGGGUGGGUGUGAUGGGUAAGGGACAUCCACCCACCCUGGCUGGUGUUUUAGGGUGCAGAGCAAGGACAGGCAGCCUUUGGCUUGUAGGGGGAGGAUGCGACACUGGGGUGCUGAGCAGCUGCUGAGUGGUGCAGAGCUUUAAGUUCCUGGCUCAAAAAACGGGUGGAAAGGCUGGAAAAAGGAAAAAAGAAUACCCAAGAGUUUGGGGUGAACGCUGCUGGAAGCGUUGGGGGGGUUGUGCAGGACCGGUGUCACCUUCGGCAGCAAAACCCCCCGCAGGUGUGCAUUGUCCCCGUGCUCAGGGUGAGGGUGCUCCAAGGUGCAGCUUUGGAGGUGAUCCAGAUAGGAAUUACUUAGUAAAACCCCCCAAAAAGGCAGAGUUCGGGGUUCUGGCCACUAUGCUGCUCUGCAGUGGGGCAGGAGACCAAGUCAGGGAGGGUCAUGACAGGGCAGGAUGGAUGGAUGGAUGGACAGACAGAGAUGGCCAGAGCCUGCAAAAAAUCUCUGCUGGAAAGGGAAGAUGGCAGGGGGUGAAGAGGCAUGGGGGGGUUGUGGUAGGUUUUUAAUAAAUAUUCAAACCUGAUUAAAAGCCCCUCUCUUCCCCCAGUAGCCACAUGGGCAAGCUGUGCCUGCAGAGCAGCCUGAACACCCGGGCAGGGUCGGGCCUGGCCGCCUCCUCCUGCAGGUGAACAUUUUAUACCCGCAUGGGGCUGAGGACCAAAAUCCACUUGCUGUCUGUGUUUCAGCCUGGGAUCUGGCUCUCUGGCAUCCUGGCUUCCCACAGAGCUGAAGCAGGCAGCCCUCAGGGGCCGAAUAUCCUGAGUUUGGAGGCAGGCAGGAUUUUCUGGUGAUUUUACACCAGCUUUCCCAUUUGCAAACCCCUUCCCAGAGCAGCCAAGGGGAAAGCACCAAGCAGACAAAAGCAAAAUGCCCUUCGGGUUUCAGGGAGUUGAUCCUCCCCUUGCAGGGACGAGCACCUUCCAAACAUCAUUUUUGGGGGGUGGGGGGGUUUGUUAGGGAACAAAUGUUGCAGCCGAGUUGUGUUUGUUCUCCUCUUGCGGGGUUUGAGUCCCGAUCUGUGUGGGCUGGUCCCAUCCGUUCAGGUGGCUCUCUUUCUGCUCCCUCGGGUUUCUCUGCUUUGUCUUCACCUCCAACACUUUGGUACUUGCUAUCAAGAGAGAGAGAGAGAGAAAAGAAUUAUUUAUUUUUGAUGCCACAGAAGCCACAUGUAUUAACCCAUUUUGGGAGAGAAACCUGUUUGAAAUGUAAAAGCUGUGUUGACCCCAGCAGCUCCAGGGUGGUCAGGUUUUAGGAAUGACACCUGCAGGCUGUUGGUGGUGGGUUUUUUUACCUCCUGGCUGGUCUCGUUUAGCACAUGCUGGCAGUGGAAAGGCUGUUCUUACAGAGCUGGGUCCUUCCUGAGAGCUCGUUCCACCCAGCUGAGCAUCCCCUUGUAGAGAUGGCAGAGGGCUGGAAGGUUCGGGUGGGACGCUGUGCCCGUGCCCUUGCCAGCCACUCUGCUUUCUGCAAUAAUUAAAAAGACUUUUCCAAUGAGUAGCUCCUGGCUUCCGUGGUGUUUCCAUAACGUCCCACCCGGUUUUCCCCCUUCCCUGUGUGAAAAUGAGCGUCGCCCUCGGCGGGCUGCAAGAAGAGGGGCCUCAGCAGAGCAGCCCCCAAGGGCUCUUUGCAAGGCCAGUUUCUGGAUGACCUGGGUUUUUUGGCAGGUCUCAUUCCCCAGGUCCAUUUGUCGUGUUCCCAUCUGCGAUAUCCUGUGUCCUGCCCUCGCCAUUGUCUGUCAGUCUCUGUUCCUCCUGUCUUUCCUUUUUUUCAUUUUCUGUUUUUUUUCUUUUUUUAAGAUGCAGACUUAAUGCUGUGAACUGAAAUAAAUUAUUUAUACAAUGAAAGGGCCUGAUUAAAAAAAAAAAAA
RNAcentral lists this long non-coding RNA (2742 nucleotides) under Taeniopygia guttata (zebra finch). RNAcentral's name for it is "lncRNA (ENSTGUG00000028860.1)". The record is from RNAcentral. Lineage: Eukaryota; Metazoa; Chordata; Aves; Passeriformes; Estrildidae.